This 246-nucleotide ribosomal RNA is filed under the name uncultured bacterium. RNAcentral describes it as "partial 16S ribosomal RNA". It matches the Rfam family "Bacterial small subunit ribosomal RNA", at positions 796 to 1041 of the family's 1533-position model. The record is from RNAcentral.
CACGCUGUAAACGAUCAAUACUAGGUGUGCGGGGACUGACCCCCUGCGUGCCGCAGUUAACACAAUAAGUAUUGCACCUGGGGAGUACGAUCGCAAGGUUGAAACUCAAAGGAAUUGACGGGGGCCCGCACAAGCGGUGGAUUAUGUGGUUUAAUUCGAAGCAACGCGAAGAACCUUACCAGGGUUUGACAUGGAGACGACCGGUACAGAGAUGUACCUUCCCUUCGGGGCGUCUCACACAGGUGG